GUCUACGACCAUACCACCCUGAACGUGCCUGAUCUCAUCUGAUCUCAGAAGUUAAGCAGGGUCAGGCCUGGUUAGUACUUGGAUGGGAGAACAUCUAUUCUAAUAAGAUGGAAAACUAAAAAGAAAUGGACA
RNAcentral lists this ribosomal RNA (132 nucleotides) under Chinchilla lanigera (long-tailed chinchilla). Lineage: Eukaryota; Metazoa; Chordata; Mammalia; Rodentia; Chinchillidae. The record is from RNAcentral.